This is a long non-coding RNA of Drosophila teissieri, 3092 nucleotides long. RefSeq lists it as uncharacterized. NCBI's taxonomy places the organism in Eukaryota, Metazoa, Arthropoda, Insecta, Diptera, Drosophilidae. The record is from RefSeq and is a predicted model, not a curated record. The transcript has 3 exons.
UUUUUUUUAACUUAAUUUUAAGAACGUCGAUUAGGUCUAGACACAAGCAUUUUUUUUAUAUUUGCAAAUUUCACAAAAUGGCAGCGAGUUGAAAAAAAGUUUCAUAUUUUGACCAUGUGUUUCAAUCUAAAAAUGACUGUAAAAAAUUGAAAAAAAAAGCUUGUGGGUAGACCUAGCGAGAUGUUUUGUGAAUAAGUAACGCUUUACAGAUCUAGAAUAUCUUCUAUGGUUUCGUCAAAAUGGUGCCAAAACUUUUGAAAAACACUACUUUCGGGAAAACGCGUUUAAAGAUAAAUGUUACAAUUACAUAAUGGCAAAACGUACCAAUUUAAUCAGCUUUGCCAGGACCGUACAGCAUGUUUUCGAUCAAAUCCUUCACGGGCAUGUUUUUAGUUAUGUCUACUUUAGAAAUAUGAAAAAAAAAAAACGAUUUUUUCAAACCGCGAAGGUAGAAUACCCCCUUAAUACGGUGACAGCAAUACAGGAUGUUUUUAUAGUGUGAUUUGGUGAGUCAGAUGCAAGCGUUUCUGUAACCUGAGAUCUUUCUUGAGAUGAAGGCGAGGGCAAGUCUCCAAGGUGAAGGAGAUUGAAAAUUGCCGGAGUUGAAUGGCGGGCCUAUACAAAUCAUAAGUUCUAUUACUUCCCACCUAAUUGCCUGGAGAAUAUGGCGAAAUGCAUGGCGAAAUCCAUAUUCUCCAACGUCCUGCAGUGCUGCUCCGGAAACGAUGCCAUGGCUUCCCACGUUGGAAUUUAAUUUUUUUAAGACUGGGUCCUCCAAACGCUCCUCCCAUUUUGCAGCUUUCAGCUUUUGAAGUACAUGGACGAUUAUGCAUCAACCUAUUUGUUUUCACCAAGCGAAUGGUUUCCAACCCAGAGUCCCGCAACAAGAUAGUAGAUGAUCUAGCAUCUCUAUAUUUGUGAGAUCCGGAUGGCUAUCUAUGAUGGUAGUAAGCAUAAAAUAAAAGUCUAGCCAAUUAGCGUAGCCCCCAGCGAAUCUUAGGAGCUCAAGAGGGGGCAGAGUCUGUGCCCUAUGCCGGAGUGGACACAAUCACACUGAGAAAUGAUGUCCGUCAAGGAUGAGUGGGAGUGCAUUUGCAAGGUGCGCUUUGAAAUCUCCCCCCGAACUGAGGAUUUAAGCGUUACGAGAAAGUCAUAAAAAUUUUCACUCAGAUUACUUUCAAUUUCGUCCAAACCAAGUUCCUCGAGCUCGGAAUUUUCUAUUGAAAAUUGCAGCCGCCUUCCGCUUUAAAGAUGUUGUUACGAACUGUUUGUUUUCAUAUUUGUGGCAGUGCCACUAGCUCAGGCUUUUCCCAGGGCGGAGUUUCCGCCCUGCCACACAGCUCGCAACAUAAACAUCGAUAACUAUAAACGUCUCACAACUCUACACAACGAAGGCAUUAAAUCUUACAAAUUGACGAGAACUUUAAGUUUUUUUGGCCGCAGAUGCUUUGGCAAUGCGUGCCCACCAAACCUAGGAUGCCCGGACGAUUUAACGGACAUCACCCAUUAUUUAUACGUCGGGGUCACUCCAGACGACAACGACGGCUCCAUCUCCCCCACAGUGAACACUCACUCAACCAUUCCGGUAAGCUCUCCCUUUUUAAUGAACAUAAACAUAAUUAUACUAAUGCUAACAUCAUUUAAAUUUACUUAUCAAUACCUCAUCAGGCUGAAACGGUCAAAGCGACAAGUCUAGGAAGCCUUCGAGAUUUACAAGACACCGCGGAAACUUGGCCCGCAAUUGGCGGUGCUUUUAAUGACGGCACUGAAACGGACGUAUUUACAUACGUAUAGGGUCACCUAAUCUUGAGGAGCUCCAAGGGACAAGAAGGGACGUGCGAAUCAAACGUGAGUAUGUGUUAUAUAUCCCUGUCGGACUAACUGAAUUCUCGCGACCCAAAUUUAGCGGCAAUAGAACGGCACGACGACAACAAUUCGGACUCGCGUUUGACUCCGGAUUGAUUAACAAAGAUCGCGCGCCAGGACUGCAGUUGACGACUGUCGAAGGAAAUUGCAGCGGUCGACGACUCACGGAAUAGCCAAGAAUUGUGCCGGAGUCAAGCGAGUCCAAUGAACAUUGCUCUCCCUGCGCUCAGUAGGUAGUAGGCUUGGAACGGACUCACCGGCGGUAUCGGGAUCGUUCCAGGGAAGAUUGUGGAUUGAGAUCCUACUCCGUAAGCCCUGUCGGGCGGGUAAGUUUUCCCAAUAUGGAUGAAUUCUUUGGCGGCGAGGUUGGCGGUCUUGCUCCAAGUAAGAUGUUUUUUUGUCGACUUCCAGCGAACCGGGAUUAUUCAAACGGCCGGAUCGCCUAACCGGAUUCCCACCGAGCGCCACCGAAACCAUCGCCCUAUCGCGAUACUUAUCGAUACUCUCGAUAACUGCAAAACUCCAACAAGAACAAAAAAGGAAAUACUGCAAUCCGAAACUCGGUUCAAACGAUAGAUGAGCGCAAAGAGAAUUAGCGUCCGCUUCCGUUAUUUUUCUAUACACGCGCACAAAUAUAACUCAUUAUGUAUAUGCAAUCUUGCCCUUGUCUCUUUUUUGAAUAUUGCAAACAAAUGUUGUUUCAACAACGCACUUAACAACAAAAGCGAUAUAAUUAAGUUUAAGCUUUAUUGUAUAUUGUUUAUGCCCAAAUCACCAAAUGUUGAGCUAUUAAGCUUUUUUAUUAUCUGUUUUUUUGCUAAAUAAAACGAUGAUUUAUUAUUGUAGCGAUUUUAAAUUAUUCUUUUAUUUUCUAGUUUGAAAGAAAUAUGAAUAAGUUACGAAGGCGAGUAUGAAUUAUUGCAUAACGUGAAGUCAAAGAGAGCACGCCGGAGAGAAAAAGAACAAGAGAGCGCAAGGGGUUAGCAUAGAUAACGAAAGGUUAUCGCACGGCUUAGGUACCAACGAGUUUGAUUGUCUCCAAGGUUGGUAUGUUUUUACAUUUAACAAGCUUAGUAAUUGCUGGCAGUUGCAAGACCCGACAAUUUGGUAAAAAUAUUUUAAAUUUUCAAACCAAAAAAGACAAUUGAAAAAUUUCAACUUUUUUUCAAAACUGUGGACGUGGCAGUUUUGUGCGGUUUGUAUGCGGUAGAUUGGAUGUGGCAAAC